GCCCUUAGAGUUUGAUCCUGGCGCAGGAUGAACGCUGGCGGCGUGCUUAACACAUGCAAGUCGAACGAAGCACUUUAACCUGAUUCUUCGGAUGAUGGUUUUUGUGACUGAGUGGCGGACGGGUGAGUAACGCGUGGGUAACCUGCCUCAUACAGGGGGAUAACAGUUAGAAAUGACUGCUAAUACCGCAUAACACCACGGAGCCGCAUGGCUCAGUGGGAAAAAACUCCGGUGGUAUGAGAUGGACCCGCGUCUGAUUAGGUAGUUGGGGGGGUAACGGCCUACCAAGCCAACGAUCAGUAGCCGACCUGAGAGGGUGACCGGCCACAUUGGGACUGAGACACGGCCCAAACUCCUACGGGAGGCAGCAGUGGGGAAUAUUGCACAAUGGGGGAAACCCUGAUGCAGCGACGCCGCGUGAGCGAAGAAGUAUUUCGGUAUGUAAAGCUCUAUCAGCAGGGAAGAAAAUGACGGUACCUGACUAAGAAGCACCGGCUAAAUACGUGCCAGCAGCCGCGGUAAUACGUAUGGUGCAAGCGUUAUCCGGAUUUACUGGGUGUAAAGGGAGCGUAGACGGCUGUGUAAGUCUGAAGUGAAAGCCCGGGGCUCAACCCCGGGACUGCUUUGGAAACUAUGCAGCUAGAGUGUCGGAGAGGUAAGUGGAAUUCCCAGUGUAGCGGUGAAAUGCGUAGAUAUUGGGAGGAACACCAGUGGCGAAGGCGGCUUACUGGACGAUGACUGACGUUGAGGCUCGAAAGCGUGGGGAGCAAACAAGAUUAGAUACCCUGGUAGUCCACGCCGUAAACGAUGACAAAUGGGUGUCGGGGAGCAAAGUUCUUCGGUGCCGCAGCAAACGCAAUAAGUAGUCCACCUGGGGAGUACGUUCGCAAGAAUGAAACUCAAAGGAAUUGACGGGGACCCGCACAAGCGGUGGAGCAUGUGGUUUAAUUCGAAGCAACGCGAAGAACCUUACCUGCUCUUGACAUCCCGGUGACCGGCAUGUAAUGAUGCCUUUUCUUCGGAACACCGGUGACAGGUGGUGCAUGGUUGUCGUCAGCUCGUGUCGUGAGAUGUUGGGUUAAGUCCCGCAACGAGCGCAACCCUUAUCUUCAGUAGCCAGCAUUUUGGAUGGGCACUCUGGAGAGACUGCCAGGGAUAACCUGGAGGAAGGUGGGGAUGACGUCAAAUCAUCAUGCCCCUUAUGAGCAGGGCUACACACGUGCUACAAUGGCGUAAACAAAGGGAAGCAAACCUGCGAGGGUAAGCAAAUCUCAAAAAUAACGUCUCAGUUCGGAUUGUAGUCUGCAACUCGACUACAUGAAGCUGGACU
Molecule: ribosomal RNA, 1330 nt
Filed under: uncultured bacterium
Lineage: Bacteria
Description: bacterial SSU rRNA
Rfam family: Bacterial small subunit ribosomal RNA
Source: RNAcentral